UCUCCGUAGGUGAACCUGCGGAGGGAUCAUUACAGAGUUCAUGCCCUACCGGGUAGAUCUCCCACCCUAUGUUAUUAUUACUUUGUUGCUUUGGCGGGCCGUUAGGCUCCCGCCCGACUACCGGCCCCGGCUGGUAAGCGCCCGCCAGAGGACCCAAAACCCUGAAUAUUAGUGUCGUCUGAGUACUAUAUAAUAGUUAAAACUUUCAACAACGGAUCUCUUGGUUCUG
RNAcentral lists this unclassified non-coding RNA (229 nucleotides) under plant metagenome. RNAcentral describes it as "partial contains small subunit ribosomal RNA, internal transcribed spacer 1, and 5.8S ribosomal RNA". The record is from RNAcentral.